This 301-nucleotide ribosomal RNA is filed under the name uncultured bacterium. RNAcentral's name for it is "partial 16S ribosomal RNA". It matches the Rfam family "Bacterial small subunit ribosomal RNA", at positions 509 to 809 of the family's 1533-position model. The record is from RNAcentral.
CAGUCGCCGCGGUAAGACAGAGGAUGCAAGCGUUAUCCGGAAUGAUUGGGCGUAAAGCGUCUGUAGGUGGCUUUUCAAGUCCGCCGUCAAAUCCCAGGGCUCAACCCUGGACAGGCGGUGGAAACUACCAAGCUGGAGUACGGUAGGGGCAGAGGGAACUUCCGGUGGAGCGGUGAAAUGCGUAGAUAUCGGAAGGAACACCUGUGGCGAAAGCGGCUCACUGAACCAUUUCUGACGCUGAUGCACGAAAGCUAGGGGAGCAAACAGGAUUAGAUACCCCUGUAGUCCCUGUCUCUUAUAA